UGGGGAAUCUUGGACAAUGGGGGAAACCCUGAUCCAGCAAUGCCGCGUGUGUGAAGAAGGCCUGAGGGUUGUAAAGCACUUUUAGAGGGAAAGAAAUCUUCAAUGUUAAUACCAUUGAGGCUUGACGUUACCCUAAGAAAAAGCACCGGCUAACUCUGUGCCAGCAGCCGCGGUAAUACAGAGGGUGCAAGCGUUAAUCGGAAUUACUGGGCGUAAAGCGCACGUAGGUGGUAAUAUAAGUCAGAUGUGAAAUCCCCGGGCUUAACCUGGGAACUGCAUUUGAAACUGUAUAACUAGAGUAGGAUAGAGGAGAGGGGAAUUUCCGGUGUAGCGGUGAAAUGCGUAGAUAUCGGAAGGAACACCAGUGGCGAAGGCGCCUCUCUGGAUUCAUACUGACACUGAGGUGCGAAAGCGUGGGGAGCAAACAGGAUUAGAUACCCCCGUAGUCC
Molecule: ribosomal RNA, 449 nt
Filed under: uncultured bacterium
Lineage: Bacteria
Description: bacterial SSU rRNA
Rfam family: Bacterial small subunit ribosomal RNA
Source: RNAcentral